This 241-nucleotide unclassified non-coding RNA is filed under the name uncultured Ascomycota. RNAcentral's name for it is "sequence contains ITS2". The record is from RNAcentral. Lineage: Eukaryota; Fungi; Ascomycota.
AACGCACAUUGCGCCCCCUGGUAUUCCGGGGGGCAUGCCUAUUCGAGCGUCAUUAUCACCCCUCAAGCCUAGCUUGGUGUUGAGGCCUGCUGUCAAGGCAGCCUCUAAAAUCAGUGGCAGUGCUGUCAGGCUCUAAGCGUAGUAAAAUAAAUCGCGAUAGGGUCCUGGUGGACACUCGUCAGAACCCCCCCAUUUUUUAAUGAUUGACCUCGGAUUAGGUAGGGAUACCCGCUGAACUUAA